This 313-nucleotide long non-coding RNA is filed under the name Elaeis guineensis (African oil palm). Its description in RNAcentral is "long non-coding RNA (EGUI_LNC000450)". The record is from RNAcentral. Lineage: Eukaryota; Viridiplantae; Streptophyta; Magnoliopsida; Arecales; Arecaceae.
GUAAAAGCUGAAAAUGAAAGUUGAUGAAAGCAUGUACUCCCAUGGCUGCAGUGUUGCUUGCUUGUAACUGUGUUGAAAAGAGAAAUUAAGGAGAGUAUCUGAAUAAGGACUGAAAUAGCCAUCUCUGUAGUGCAAUUGAAGGUAUACUUACGCAUGUUGUGUAUAUUAAAAUUUGUGACGUAGAUAAGAGGGUAAAUAAACUCUUCCAGGAGUAAUGAAAGUUAAAUUGAUAAUCAUGCUCCCAAUAGCAGAGGUAUGAAGAAAAAACAGUUAAUUCCUACCAAUUGUGUGCAGAGUGCAAUUGAGAAGCGAG